AGUGAACGCUGGCGGUAGGCCUAACACAUGCAAGUCGAACGGCAGCACAGUAAGAGCUUGCUCUUACGGGUGGCGAGUGGCGGACGGGUGAGGAAUACAUCGGAAUCUACUUUUUCGUGGGGGAUAACGUAGGGAAACUUACGCUAAUGCCGCAUACGACCUACGGGUGAAAGCAGGGGAUCUUCGGACCUUGCGCGAUUGAAUGAGCCGAUGUCGGAUUAGCUAGUUGGCGGGGUAAAGGCCCACCAAGGCGACGAUCCGUAGCUGGUCUGAGAGGAUGAUCAGCCACACUGGAACUGAGACACGGUCCAGACUCCUACGGGAGGCAGCAGUGGGGAAUAUUGGACAAUGGGCGCAAGCCUGAUCCAGCCAUACCGCGUGGGUGAAGAAGGCCUUCGGGUUGUAAAGCCCUUUUGUUGGGAAAGAAAAGCAGCAGGUUAAUACCCCGCUGUUCUGACGGUACCCAAAGAAUAAGCACCGGCUAACGUCGUG
Molecule: ribosomal RNA, 492 nt
Filed under: uncultured bacterium
Lineage: Bacteria
Description: partial 16S ribosomal RNA
Rfam family: Bacterial small subunit ribosomal RNA
Source: RNAcentral